Molecule: long non-coding RNA, 665 nt
Organism: Daktulosphaira vitifoliae (grape phylloxera)
Lineage: Eukaryota; Metazoa; Arthropoda; Insecta; Hemiptera; Phylloxeridae
Exons: 5
Source: RefSeq, a predicted model, not a curated record
CCGUGAUGCUGUCGUCAGUUCGCCUGCAAUCCACCGACCGGCAACUUGUGAUGCACCGACUACAGUGCCUCAACACACGCGCCAUCCACGACCUUCACAUCAAAUCGAUUUCGGCUAGCAUUGUGAGCUGAAAAUAAAAAAACCGCAAUUGCCAAAAAAGACGGUGUACAUCAAUAGUCACAGACAUAAUAAAAUGAAUUUCGGGUUGCAGAUAACUAAAAAAAAUUGCUGUUUUUUCUUUCGAAUAUGGCGAUACCAAAAAAAAAAAAAGGAAUUAUCUAUCAAGAGCAACUAAAUCAAUGAUUCCAUACAAUUCUAUAUUAUGCUCAAUUAUUACACAUGAUUAUUAAUGCAAUCUCAUCAAUGUUUAUCAUGUAUAAUAUUACACUGGUAUUGGCAUCAACGAAAUAUCAUAAAUUUUAAUGUUUUAUUAUUAUUAUUAUUUCGUAAAAACAAUAAAUUAUUACAAGCUAUCGUUUUACAAUACCAUUAAAAUUGAUUCUCAUGGUAAAUUUUUCUGUUUAUUCUAUAAAAACCGUUAUAGUAUCGCUAUUUUAUUGCUGUCGGUGAAAAUAAACGUGCACACAAAUGUCUGGUAUUUAACACGAACAAUAAAUGUCAUUUUGUUAAUCCAAUAUAUUUUCCUAUAAUUCUUAUUUAUUCAA